This 418-nucleotide ribosomal RNA is filed under the name uncultured bacterium. Its description in RNAcentral is "bacterial SSU rRNA". It matches the Rfam family "Bacterial small subunit ribosomal RNA", at positions 355 to 787 of the family's 1533-position model. The record is from RNAcentral.
UGGGGAAUAUUGGGCAAUGGGCGCAAGCCUGACCCAGCAACGCCGCGUGAAGGAAGAAGGCUUUCGGGUUGUAAACUUCUUUUCUUGGGGACGAAGCAGGUGACGGUACCCAAGGAAUAAGCCACGGCUAACUACGUGCCAGCAGCCGCGGUAAUACGUAGGUGGCAAGCGUUAUCCGGAUUUAUUGGGUGUAAAGGGCGUGUAGGCGGGAAUGCAAGUCAGAUGUGAAAACUAUGGGCUCAACCCAUAGCCUGCAUUUGAAACUGUAUUUCUUGAGUGCUGGAGAGGCAAUCGGAAUUCCGUGUGUAGCGGUGAAAUGCGUAGAUAUACGGAGGAACACCAGUGGCGAAGGCGGAUUGCUGGACAGUAACUGACGCUGAGGCGCGAAAGCGUGGGGAGCAAACAGGAUUAGAUACCC